CCCUUAGAUGUCCUGGGCUGCACGCGCGCUACACUGACACGUUCAACGAGUUUUGCCUGCUCCGAUGGGACUGGGUAAUCUUAUGAAAGCGUGUCGUGAUGGGGAUAGAUUAUUGCAAUUAUUAAUCUUCAACGAGGAAUGCCUAGUAGGCGCAAGUCAUCAGCUUGCGUCGAUUACGUCCCUGCCCUUUGUACACACCGCCCGUCGCUCCUACCGAUUGGGUGUGCUGGUGAAAUGUUCGGAUCGGCCGUUUGUCGCGGUUUCCGCGUCAUGUGGCUGAGAAGUUCAUUAAACCCUCCCACCUAGAGGAAGGAGAAGUCGUAACA
RNAcentral lists this ribosomal RNA (326 nucleotides) under uncultured eukaryote. Its description in RNAcentral is "partial 18S ribosomal RNA". It matches the Rfam family "Eukaryotic small subunit ribosomal RNA", at positions 1470 to 1796 of the family's 1831-position model. The record is from RNAcentral.